This 488-nucleotide ribosomal RNA is filed under the name uncultured bacterium. RNAcentral's name for it is "partial 16S ribosomal RNA". It matches the Rfam family "Bacterial small subunit ribosomal RNA", at positions 28 to 507 of the family's 1533-position model. The record is from RNAcentral.
GACGAACGCUGGCGGCGUGCUUAACACAUGCAAGUCGAACGCGCCUGUCCUCUGGGUUUCUGGGGGGUGGGUGAGUGGCGAACGGGUGAGUAACACGUGAGUAACCUGCCCCCUUCUUCGGGAUAACGGUCUGAAAGGGCUGCUAAUACCGGGUAUUCACUGGUCUCCGCAUGGGGUCUGGUGGAAAGGUUUUUUUCUGGUGGGGGAAGGGCUCGCGGCCUGUCGGCUUGGUGGUGGGGUGAUGGCCCACCAAGGCUUUGACGGGUAGCCGGCCUGAGAGGGUAACCGGUCACAGUGGGACUGAGAUACGGCCCAGACUCCUACGGGGGGCGGCAGUGGGGAAUAUUGCACAAUGGGCGCAAGCCUGAUGCAGCGUCGCCGCGUGAGGGAUGGGGGCCUUCGGGUUGUGAACCUCUUUCGCCCGUGGUCAAGCCGCGACGUGGGUCGUGGUGAGGGUAGUGGGUAAAGAAGCGCCGGCUAACUACGUG